AGGGAGGUGUGUUCAGGUGAUUCUGGGCGUGCUGGUCUUACAGGGAGGUGUGUUCAGGUGCAUUCUGGGCGUGCUGGUCUUACAGGGAGGUAUGUUCAGGUGCAUUCUGGGUGUAUUGUUAUCUUGAAGCAGUGGGAAGUGAUGGCACCAU
Molecule: long non-coding RNA, 151 nt
Organism: Etheostoma cragini (Arkansas darter)
Lineage: Eukaryota; Metazoa; Chordata; Actinopteri; Perciformes; Percidae
Exons: 2
Source: RefSeq, a predicted model, not a curated record